Molecule: ribosomal RNA, 253 nt
Filed under: uncultured bacterium
Lineage: Bacteria
Description: partial 16S ribosomal RNA
Rfam family: Bacterial small subunit ribosomal RNA
Source: RNAcentral
UACAGAGGGUGCGAGCGUUAAUCGGAAUUACUGGGCGUAAAGCGUGCGUAGACGGCUAUCUAAGUCCGCUGUGAAAGUCAAGGGCUCAACCCUUGGAUGCCGGUGGAUACUGCAGGGCUAGAGUCCGGAAGAGGCGAGUGGAAUUCCUGGUGUAGCGGUGAAAUGCGCAGAUAUCAGGAGGAACACCGAUGGCGAAGGCAGCUCGCUGGGACGGUACUGACGCUGAGACGCGAAAGCGUGGGGAGCAAACAGG